Molecule: non-coding RNA, 3912 nt
Organism: Myodes glareolus (Bank vole)
Lineage: Eukaryota; Metazoa; Chordata; Mammalia; Rodentia; Cricetidae
Source: RefSeq, a predicted model, not a curated record
CAGCAGGUAAGAGCGUUUGCUGCUGAAUUUGAUCCCCAGGACCCUCAUGGUAGAAGGAGAGGACUGACUCUUGAAAGCUGUGCUCUGACCUCCACACAAUUACACAAGAAUGUAACUAACAUUUUUUAAGUGUACUGGCAGACUUAAGGUAAGCCUGGGUUGGCUAUACUGAGGGGAUAACCGUAUAAAGAAAGGUAAGUAGAGUUUACUUACAAAAUCAGCAUCAAGAGGGGAUGCUCUGCUUGGCUUUUAUGACCAAGAUAUACACAUUUAGGAUAAACCUGGACCAAAGGUCUGUGUAGAAGGAAUAGGAUCUAGUGUUCUAGGUCUUUCUGAAGUUCAGACCAAGGUUGCUAGUGGAAACCUAGAGGAUGGGUGGAGCUCCACAGAACAACUUACCAAAUAGGUCUCCCCAUCUGAGGGGAGACUCGGGGUGCUCUCUAGGGGUCAGACUGCAGGUCGGAAUACCUGGCACCGUGGAGGCAUCUGCAGGAGGCAGCUUCUUCCACAGAGUCUGUGGCAAAUCAAGAGGGUGCCCUCAGGAGAUGAGAACAGACAGUGGCUGAAGGGGGCAGCUCUGUAGUUAAGACACAGGAGUUAUGGGGCUCAGCUUUGAUGUUCCCAAAUUAAAAAGCAAGAAGCUGCCUUCAGGAGAAAAGCUCUGUAAAGCGCUAGUGAGUGGUCACAUCUCAUAUUCCCCGGCACAAGCUUCACCUGCCAAGGCCCCGGGGUCGGGAGAGACCAAGUGGCACAAGAGGAAAGGACGAAGGCUACACCCAGGAUUGAGCAAGUCCAUCCACCCAAACACACAAACUGUCUCACAGCAUCGUCUGGACAGCCACUGGCUGCCAUCCCACACUACGGCAGACUCACUCUCAUGCUGCCCAGGGCCAGUACACAUGCUACCCAUAGCCUUUAGCUCUCUGAGGCUUGGGCGAACCCAGUACACCUGAGGAGUUUGGCCUUCCAUGGGAAAGAGGCUUAAAGAGGAAUGAUGUUGAUAACGUCUCCCUGGACGAACCCAGCACAGAGAAUUUUAUUGUCCUGAACCAGAAGGCCCCACUUGACUGAGAAAUAACAUCAACAGCUGAUAUUUGUAGAAAGCUUACAGUGUGCCAAACAUCGGAGAUCUUGUUUACAAAGAAAUGACAGAGCCGAGCCUGUUGCACGUGUCUGCAAUUGGGAGGCUGAAGCAGGAGCAUUGAAAACCAGUGGCUAACCUGCAUUACACAGAGGGAGCCUAUCUCAAGAAAAACAACAUGGGCUCUGGAGAGCUGGCUGUGUGCUUAAGAGUAUUUAUGGCUCUUGCAGAGGACCCAGGUUUAUUUUCUAGCACCCACAUGGUAGCUCACAACCAUCUGUAACUCCAGUCCCAGGAGAUCUGACCUCUUUUUUAUGACUUCUGAGGGCACCAGUCAUGUGCGUAAUGCAGGCAAAACACUCAUACACAUAAACAGAUUUUAAAAAGGUGAAAUAAAAUCAGCCGUAGCAUAAACUACAGAGGGAAUUGUCAAAGUAGCCUAAGGAAAGAAGAAGCCUAAGCAGAGGCGGCCCAGGAAACAGCGGGAAACUAUUUUAACCCUGUAUUUCAGACACUGGUACCCUGGGUGUUGCUGACAUCUUCCUCUGGCCUUGUCUUGUCUCCGCAAUCUUUGUGGUCCCCAGUGGAAGAAUUCCAAGGAGACGUGCUGAGUAAGCACCAGGCUGCUGUAGCAAUGGGACCAGUGUUAGGUGCCUGCCUAACUGUGGAGCUAAACAUGUGCCUGGAACAAAAUGGAAAAUGGGGUCAGAAAAUUUGAUCCGCUGUUUCCUUUCCUCCGUUGGCACCCCUCCUUCCUUGACUCUGGGCUCAAUGACUGACACGAUCCUGGGUCACCAUCAGCCUCUCCAAGUAUCUGCCUUGCAGAUAGCAGAUGGGGGUCUCUCUUAGUCCUCUGUGGAUCGUGAUGGAGAUGUGAAGGAUGGUUGUUAGGACUCCGGCGCCCUCGCCUGCCGUUCUCGAGUGCCCAUCGAGGCUGGGUUCUCCAUCGAGCCUGCUGCUCUCACUCCUCCUAGCGCAGUCUACGCUGAUCUCUCUACCACUCCUUCUGCCUGUUUCCAUGAUGGACUGUUCGUGAGCAGCAUCUACCACAAAGAAGAGGUGAAAGUGUGUUAUGACUCAGGUUGCAGCUCUUGGUGCCUGUGUGUGUUGAAUCACGGUGGACAGAUUCCCCCUUCAGAUCCCUGGCAACUGCUGUUUGGUCUGGUCAUAUCACAGCACCUAACCCUCCGUUGUGCUGCCCUGGAACAGUAGCUUCCAAGUACUUUAUUAUUGACUGUCCCUUUGCUGCUCUGGUCAUGAGCAUGAAUGCCCCUGUGCAGAAAAAUGCACACAAAGAUUCAUUCUCUGCUCAGGCUAACGUUCCUGUCAACCGUAUGAACUAUAAAUGUAUGUUUUCAGUCAUGUCUUCUCUGGGAUGCUUUUUUAUCACAUUCCUGGUGACCUCUUUCACCGUUGACAGUAGGAAAGGGUCCUCAGAGCUCAUCAAGAAGAGUUUUUCCAUUGAUGUGAAAAGACCAGCCUGGGAAAUGAUGAGGAGACAUCUAUUGUAAAGAUCCAUGGCCGUGUGCAUUGUAGAGCAAGUCUUCAAACACCUUAGCGUUGGAGGCCAUUCCUGACCGCCUAAUGUGACAAGGAAUUUGUCAAAGGUGGGGAUAGGGGAGGAGUAGAUCAGAUUAAGAGCAGCAAUGGGGGGAAGGAGAGAGAGAGAGAGAGAGAGAGAGAGAGAGAGAGAGAGAGAGAGCGCACUGAUGACACUCCACUACUCCAGGGGUCUAUAAAUGGGAGACAGCACUGCAUUAGGAACACUGAGACAUAUAAUGGCAGGUCCAAGCUCAGGUAGAAAGUGAAUUCAGAACCCUGCAGAAUCUUAUGUCUAGGGUGACUGAACCAAAUCAGAGUGUCAGCACCACUCUGGAAGCCAAGUCUGUGAGUCCAGUGGGCUGAUCUGUUCACAGACACCUGCUUGCCACAAGGCCUGGCUCAGGCCUAGACAAUCAUGGAGGUAUGGAGGCCAGACUUCUUUAAGACAUCUGAUCAACCUCAUAAUGGGACAGAUACCUGGAAAGUGCUCUGAAGAGAAUCAGUGGAGGGGGGGAGGGGCAGAGCCCAUGCCACCACCCACAGUAUAGGGUCCUAAGAUCCAAAUGGCAUAUUGAUACUAGGAGAUGUCAGGCAACUGAGAAAAUGUACAUAGAUCUGUGGGGUUCUGUUUAGGGUGUGACAAGGAGAUCUAGAAACAUUGGGGGCGCCAGGUAUGGAGUGUCAGACUUGACUCAGAGCUGGGGUACGUCAGCCCUUCAUUCCUCAGUGCGUCUGUCUGUAUGAGGGGCAUGGCUUUUCAAAUGACACCAGCUACUAGGAGGUAUAUGUGUGUGUUCAUUUCCAUCAUCCACCUGUGUAUAUACACUUAGGCACUUAUAUAGAAAUGCAUAAAGUACAUAGAGUUCAUGUAAAAUGAGAUAUAAUUCCUUUUCCAUAUUUUAUACAUGUAUAUAUCAGUAUCAGUAUAGAUUGUUACACCUUUACACCUUUGUCUCUUUCAUUUUGUAGAUGUAUGUAAUCGCGUUCAUUUUUUUACUCAGUUCUUUUUCAUUUAAAACCUAUUGUGCAGCAAGCACAGUUUCAUGGUUCUUAUCUAAAUGAGUCACUUUAUUUUAUGAAAUGACCCGCAGAUAGCCCAAAUGUUCAUUGCUUCAUUUCACAGGAGAACAGGACAGGUGUUGUGCCAAGUACUCUUUCUAGUCGCCUCUUCGCAGUUGCUACUUUUGUGCCAUUUGGAAAUGCUCUUCCUCUAACCCCGUUCAUCCAGCUUGAAGUUUUUCUUUCAGUUUACAGGGCUUCCUGUCGUACUUUCAGGAGAAAACUUUAUA